UCAGGAUGAACGCUAGCGGCAGGCUUAACACAUGCAAGUCGAGGGGUAACAUUGUGCUUGCACAGAUGACGACCGGCGAACGGGUGCGUAACGCGUAUAGAAUCUACCUCUUACUAAGGGAUAGCCCAGAGAAAUUUGGAUUAAUACCUUAUAGUAUGCAGACUUGGCAUCAAGACUGCAUUAAAGAUUACGGUAGGAGAUGACUAUGCGUCCUAUUAGCUAGAUGGUGUGGUAACGGCACACCAUGGCAACGAUAGGUAGGGGCCCUGAGAGGGGGAUCCCCCACACUGGUACUGAGACACGGACCAGACUCCUACGGGAGGCAGCAGUGAGGAAUAUUGGACAAUGGAGGCAACUCUGAUCCAGCCAUGCCGCGUGCAGGAAGACUGCCCUAUGGGUUGUAAACUGCUUUUAUACAGGAAGAAACACUGCUACGUGUAGCAGCUUGACGGUACUGUAAGAAUAAGGAUCGGCUAACUCCGUGCCAGCAGCCGCGGUAAUACGGAGGAUCCAAGCGUUAUCCGGAAUCAUUGGGUUUAAAGGGUCCGUAGGUGGAUAAUUAAGUCAGAGGUGAAAUCCUGCAGCUCAACUGUAGAAUUGCCUUUGAUACUGGUUAUCUUGAGUUAUUAUGAAGUAGUUAGAAUAUGUAGUGUAGCGGUGAAAUGCAUAGAUAUUACAUAGAAUACCAAUUGCGAAGGCAGAUUACUAAUAAUAUACUGACACUGAUGGACGAAAGCGUGGGGAGCGAACAGGAUUAGAUACCCUGGUAGUCCACGCCGUAAACGAUGGUCACUAGCUGUUCGAACUUCGGUUUGAGUGGCUAAGCGAAAGUGAUAAGUGACCCACCU
RNAcentral lists this ribosomal RNA (848 nucleotides) under Olleya sp. RNAcentral describes it as "bacterial SSU rRNA". It matches the Rfam family "Bacterial small subunit ribosomal RNA", at positions 24 to 874 of the family's 1533-position model. The record is from RNAcentral. Lineage: Bacteria; Pseudomonadati; Bacteroidota; Flavobacteriia; Flavobacteriales; Flavobacteriaceae.